GCUUCUAAAGGAUAAUAGCCCAU
RNAcentral lists this transfer RNA (23 nucleotides) under Pygidianops amphioxus. Its description in RNAcentral is "partial tRNA-Leu". The record is from RNAcentral. Lineage: Eukaryota; Metazoa; Chordata; Actinopteri; Siluriformes; Trichomycteridae.